Molecule: long non-coding RNA, 541 nt
Organism: Carassius auratus (goldfish)
Lineage: Eukaryota; Metazoa; Chordata; Actinopteri; Cypriniformes; Cyprinidae
Exons: 4
Source: RefSeq, a predicted model, not a curated record
UAGGCUGAAUUCCUUCCAAACGCCGUAGGAGGCCACUGCCCGCAUUACCCGCCGGGUGUUCUCCCCAGGGUUUGGACCUCCAACGAGGCAUAAAUGAUGUGUCUGCAAGAUGGAAUACAUUUUCUAAAUAGGAGAGGAGUUUAUUGAUGGUGCCACACACUUCAAGGCUCAUCUCCUCUGCUUGCUGGCAAGUCCCAUCACCCAGGGCACGAGCAUAAAGUUCAUGCAUGGCUGCUAUUGAGCUCCUCAUUGCCUUCAUCUCACUUUCUAUGGUUACUAUUUUUUGAAUGAGGAGGGUAAGGAGGUGAUCUGAGGAGAAUCAAUAUUGAUUCGUUAAAAUUAAGGACCUGGUUUAACCAGCAGUGGAGAGAGUCAUGAAGGAGAAUCACCAAAUAACACCGAUAACGAAGGGUGUCUCUGGGUGGAGUUGGCCUUAUUGGCACAUCUGGCAUGGGAAGCUCUUCACAUCUUGAUGGCAUCUUUAUUGAUUGAUUGAAGGUGGUUUGCCUGUUGGGUAAUUUAAAUUUUUUAUUUUCCGGUG